GGCUCAGAUUGAACGCUGGCGGCAGCCCUAACACAUGCAAGUCGAGCGGCAGCACGGGUACUUGUACCUGGUGGCGAGCGGCGGACGGGUGAGUAAUGCCUAGGAAUCUGCCUGGUAGUGGGGGAUAACGCUCGGAAACGGACGCUAAUACCGCAUACGUCCUACGGGAGAAAGCAGGGGACCUUCGGGCCUUGCGCUAUCAGAUGAGCCUAGGUCGGAUUAGCUAGUUGGUGAGGUAAUGGCUCACCAAGGCGACGAUCCGUAACUGGUCUGAGAGGAUGAUCAGUCACACUGGAACUGAGACACGGUCCAGACUCCUACGGGAGGCAGCAGUGGGGAAUAUUGGACAAUGGGCGAAAGCCUGAUCCAGCCAUGCCGCGUGUGUGAAGAAGGUCUUCGGAUUGUAAAGCACUUUAAGUUGGGAGGAAGGGCAUUUACCUAAUACGUAAGUGUUUUGACGUUACCGACAGAAUAAGCACCGGCUA
This 485-nucleotide ribosomal RNA is filed under the name Pseudomonas sp. 01WB04.1-89. RNAcentral's name for it is "bacterial SSU rRNA". It matches the Rfam family "Bacterial small subunit ribosomal RNA", at positions 21 to 499 of the family's 1533-position model. The record is from RNAcentral. Lineage: Bacteria; Pseudomonadati; Pseudomonadota; Gammaproteobacteria; Pseudomonadales; Pseudomonadaceae.